RNAcentral lists this ribosomal RNA (120 nucleotides) under Pteropus alecto (black flying fox). Lineage: Eukaryota; Metazoa; Chordata; Mammalia; Chiroptera; Pteropodidae. The record is from RNAcentral.
GUCUACAGCCAUACCACCCUGAACAAGCCCGAUCCCAUCUGAUCUCGGGAGCUAAGCAAAGGUUGGGCCUGGUUAGUACUUGGAUGGGAGACCAUCUAGGAAGACCAGGUGCUGUAAGCA